GUAGUGUAAUGGUUAAGUACUUGGCUGCUAACCGAAAGGUUGGUGGUUCAAAUCCACCC
RNAcentral lists this transfer RNA (59 nucleotides) under Loxodonta africana (African savanna elephant). It matches the Rfam family "tRNA", at positions 7 to 64 of the family's 71-position model. From Rfam's summary of the family: Transfer RNA (tRNA) molecules are approximately 80 nucleotides in length. Their secondary structure includes four short double-helical elements and three loops (D, anti-codon, and T loops). Further hydrogen bonds mediate the characteristic L-shaped molecular structure. tRNAs have two regions of fundamental functional importance: the anti-codon, which is responsible for specific mRNA codon recognition, and the 3' end, to which the tRNAs corresponding amino acid is attached (by aminoacyl-tRNA synthetases). tRNAs cope with the degeneracy of the genetic code in two manners: having more than one tRNA (with a specific anti-codon) for a particular amino acid; and 'wobble' base-pairing, i.e. permitting non-standard base-pairing at the 3rd anti-codon position. Lineage: Eukaryota; Metazoa; Chordata; Mammalia; Proboscidea; Elephantidae. The record is from Rfam by way of RNAcentral.